Pogona vitticeps (central bearded dragon) is the source of this 152-nucleotide non-coding RNA. Lineage: Eukaryota; Metazoa; Chordata; Lepidosauria; Squamata; Agamidae. The record is from RefSeq and is a predicted model, not a curated record.
GUGUGUGUCUGCAGGGAGCAGGUGAAUGAUUCCUUCUAAGGUGACCAUCCUGAAGCGGCGUGGUUUGAGAUUCUCAAGAUUCUCAUCAGUUUUUUCACUGAACAAGCCAGAAGCGUCAAAUGCUGUUGAAACAUCAGUGGAUUGGAAGAAGU